This 435-nucleotide ribosomal RNA is filed under the name uncultured bacterium. RNAcentral's name for it is "bacterial SSU rRNA". It matches the Rfam family "Bacterial small subunit ribosomal RNA", at positions 1091 to 1524 of the family's 1533-position model. The record is from RNAcentral.
CACGAGCGCAACCCUGUCCUUAGUUGCCAUCGGGUAAUGCCGGGAACUCCCCCUUUAAUGCCGGUUUUAAGCCGGAGGAAGGUGGGGAUGACCUUAGUCAUCAUGGCUCUUAUGUCCAGGGCUGCACACGUGCUACAAUGGCCGGUACAAAGGGUCGCGAUACCGCGAGGUGGAGCCAAUCCCAAAAAACCGGUCUCAGUUGGGAUUGCAGUCUGCAACUCGACUGCAUGAACGUGGAAUUGCUAGUAAUCGCGGAUCAGCAUGCCGCGGUGAAUACGUUCCCGGGUCUUGUACACACCGCCCGUCAAGCUAGAAAAGUCGGAUAUGCCUGAAGUCGUGGGCCCAACCCGCAAGGGAAGGGAGCGCCUAAGGUAAAGCUGGCGAUUCGAGCUAAUUCGUAACAAGGUAGCCGUACCAGAAGGUGGGGGUGGAUCC